GUUGUGGGAAUCCAUCCAGAAUGCAAGAUAUUCCAGCAAGUGGUCAAAGAGGAGGCUCUCUGCUUAGAAAAGAAUGACUCUCUUUCACCUGAUCUUAAAGGAUGUGCCAGAGAUUGGGAUGGUCUAACCUGCUGGCCCACAGUUGCUUUUGGGGAAGUGGUUAAAGUUCCCUGUCCAAGUUUUUUUGAAGAAAUCACCAAUAUCCAUGGUUUCCUUCAGAGAAACUGUACACAGGAGGCAUAUUGGUCAGAACCAUUCCCACCAUACACCAUUGCCUGUGG
Molecule: long non-coding RNA, 281 nt
Organism: Nestor notabilis (Kea)
Lineage: Eukaryota; Metazoa; Chordata; Aves; Psittaciformes; Psittacidae
Exons: 3
Source: RefSeq, a predicted model, not a curated record